UGGCUCAGUUAGUAGAGCAUGGCGUUGGCAACGCCAGGGUUGUGGGUUUGAUUUCCAC
This is a non-coding RNA of Salmo salar (Atlantic salmon), 58 nucleotides long. The record is from Rfam. Lineage: Eukaryota; Metazoa; Chordata; Actinopteri; Salmoniformes; Salmonidae.